UAAUCGCGGCGCAGAGCACGAGUAUGAUCGAUGCACGCAUAGUAAAUGAAAAUUCUAAAUCAUAAAAAGUUACUUCAAAAUCGAUUCAAGCAAAGAACCUAUGAGAUAAUUGACUCAUAACAAUUCGCUGGGCAUACCCCAUGAGUCGCAAGCAUUCACAGCCUAUCGCUAAAGAGGACAAGGCCGAAAGAAAUUGAAUAAAAGAAAGACGCAAUGCAUGCAGAAAAAACCUGCGAAAGUAUAUCCUAGACGCGUAGAGGGAAAUCUUCCAAAAAUCAGACAACGCCCACGUUAUCCUAGUUGCGGUCGACGAAGAAAAGAUGGAAAAUAAAAAAAGACAAAGUCAAGAAUGCGAUGUUGCACCUCACAAAGGCGACUACUUUCACUUUCCACGGGUAUAAGCUUACAGUGAGCUGCGGCGCGCCGACUCUUUGGGGAAACGAAGGUUGCA
RNAcentral lists this unclassified non-coding RNA (451 nucleotides) under Athalia rosae (coleseed sawfly). RNAcentral describes it as "misc RNA ENSAEAG00005006571.1". Lineage: Eukaryota; Metazoa; Arthropoda; Insecta; Hymenoptera; Athaliidae. The record is from RNAcentral.